GCUUACGGAGUUACCCAAUGGAAUUCAUCGUGGAUGAUGCUAAAAUGGAAGAUCCAUUCUUGGUGUAGAUCCGCACUGCCUCAUACAGUAGCUACUAGCUACAUGUGGCUAUUGAGCACUUGAAAUGUGCCUAGUUCAACACAAAAUUUUCUACAAGAAAGAUCAGUUCCAUGACGCCUGGGAUGGACUGAGUCUUGGAUUAAAGGCUGAGACAACCCUGGUCCUGGAGAUGCAAUUUAUGGAGGCCUUUGAGUGAUUGCUGUAUUGCCGCUAAAGAGGGCCCAAAACUUGGAUAUUGUUUAAAGCCAAAUCAAUAUCCUCUUCAAUGUGAUCUUCAAGCGUGAAAUAGGACACGGGCUUUCACUUAUUUUAUACAAGUAGUACCAGUUUUCUAGGACUUGCUUACCUGGUGACCAAAACCAUGCACUGACAAUAUGACAGGUUGGUGGUACUGGUGACUACUGAGACUAAAACAAACAAUACGUGACUCAAACAGAAUCAAAUUUUUGCCUAUCAGUACCAUGCUCCUUAAGCAAAGGAAGUAUAGUAACUCUACGCCCUCCUUAUAAAGGACCACUGGAAAAUUAUAUAUCUCUUCAGACUUCUUUCUAUGAUUCAGUUUGUUAAUCCCUAUGGCAAAGGACUUAUAUAUUAGAUUGUAAAUAAAUUCUGGAAGAUGACCCAGAAAGACCACUUAGGAAAAGUCACAAGACUUCCCUGCAUAAUAUAAGGUAGAGUAGAAUGUAGAGCUAUGGCAAAUAAGAACAGCAAACUUCUUUAAACAUUUCUACCAAUCAGCAGUUCAUUACAUUGUAAACAGCCCAUACAGAACAGUUUAUAAAGAAUUUUGCAUGAAACAGAUGCUUAAAUUAGAAGACCUAUAAAUUAUGUGGCUGUUAUAAACUUUACUCAAAGUGGAACCAUCAAUAUACCUUGAUAAGGCUGAUAAGACUUUAGAUAAAUUAUGACUCAUCACUAAAAUUAUACUUUAAGUACUAUCAUCACAAAUAUAUACAUUAUUUAAACAUGAAGGUCAUGGGGAAAGGUGUGGUAAGAGUAACUGAAUUUCCAGCGCUAUGCUGUGUACUUCCAAAUCAUCUCAUUUAACUGGUAAAUUUUCCUGUGAUGUUAACAUUACUAUGUGAGUUGAGAAAACAGUAAAUAAUAGCCGUUAAGUGACUCUAUUAUAAAGUCAGCAUACAAAUCCUCAUGUGCUUGAAUAUACCAGUUUGUGAAACGUGGUAAUGGCCAACAGCUAAAUUCAGAAAAAAAUUCAAUACAGUUGGAGUUUCCAAAGUUGGCUACAACAGUAUGUGCCAUCCCAUUUUCUCUUUUAUAGUGUGAUUUCCUGUGCCAAGAAAUAAAACCAAUUUGCCCUCCUCUUGA
Long non-coding RNA from Acinonyx jubatus (cheetah), 1386 nucleotides. RefSeq lists it as uncharacterized. NCBI's taxonomy places the organism in Eukaryota, Metazoa, Chordata, Mammalia, Carnivora, Felidae. The record is from RefSeq and is a predicted model, not a curated record. The transcript is spliced from 3 exons.